Molecule: long non-coding RNA, 439 nt
Organism: Leopardus geoffroyi (Geoffroy's cat)
Lineage: Eukaryota; Metazoa; Chordata; Mammalia; Carnivora; Felidae
Exons: 2
Source: RefSeq, a predicted model, not a curated record
AGCCAAAACUAUCUUAAAAAAGAACAAAGUUGGAGGACUCAAAUUUCAUGAUUUGAAAUUGUGAUAAAAAAUACAGUAAUCAAGACCGUAUAGUAUUGGAAGAGGAUAUAAACAUUUGGACCAAUGGAAUAAAACUGAAGGUCCAGAAAAAAUCCAUACAUUUAUGGGCUAUUAGUUUUUAACAAGAGUGCCAAUACAACUCAAUGGGGAAAGAAGAAUCUUUUCAAUAAACGGUGCUGGGAGCGCUGGAGAUCCACAUGCGAAAGAACGAAGGUGGACCCUCACCUUACACCAUAUAUACAAAUUAACUCGAAAUGGGUCAGACCUAAAUGUAAGAGUAAAACUUACAAUUCUUAGAAAACAUGGGAGUUCUACAUCUCUGUGACACCUAAAGCACAGCGACUGAAGACAAAAUAGAAAACUGGACUUCAUGAAAAUG